GCACGUAGUUGGCCGGGCCUUCUUCUGCAGGUACCGUCAAUUUCGUCCCUGCUGAAAGCGGUUUACAACCCGAGGGCCUUCAUCCCGCACGCGGCGUCGCUGCGUCAGGGUUUCCCCCAUUGCGCAAGAUUCCCUACUGCUGCCUCCCGUAGGAGUCUGGGCCGUGUCUCAGUCCCAGUGUGGCUGAUCGUCCUCUCAGACCAGCUAUCCGUCGUAGCCUUGGUGAGCCGUUACCCCACCAACAAGCUGAUAGACCGCGAGCCCAUCCCGGAGCGGAAUCCAUUUCCUCACCAAACCAUGCGAUUCGGUGAGGACAUCCGGUAUUAGCUCGAGUUUCCUCGAGUUAUCCCGGUCUCCGGGGCAGGUUGCUCACGUGUUACGCACCCGUUCGCCACUCUCCACGGGGCCGAAGCCCCGCUUCCCGUUCGACUUGCAUGUAUUAAGCGCGCCGCCAGCGUUCGUC
RNAcentral lists this ribosomal RNA (463 nucleotides) under uncultured bacterium. RNAcentral describes it as "partial 16S rRNA". The record is from RNAcentral.